Molecule: long non-coding RNA, 326 nt
Filed under: Setaria italica (foxtail millet)
Lineage: Eukaryota; Viridiplantae; Streptophyta; Magnoliopsida; Poales; Poaceae
Description: long non-coding RNA (SITA_LNC000442)
Source: RNAcentral
UCCAUUUAUCACGUCUUCGUUGAUCAGUCCCCGGUACUUUCAAAUAUGGUGCACAACGCCGUUGUCAACUCCUUCGCUGGUGGGAUACCUCAAGGAUACAGGGGACCGGCAUAUUUUCAGCCAAUUCCACCAAACUAGAAUUAUUCGAAUUCGGUUUCACAGCCGAUCCAAUUUUCUGUCGGGGGUUCAGGUGCUUCCUCAUCAUCAGCUCCUAUGGGGUAUAACUCCAUCCAACUGUCUUCUGCACCAUUCCCUCCAGUUAGCCCAUCACCUUGGGGGCACCUUCAGCCACGGUCGGUCAGAAUCAAUCGGCCAGUCAAGGAAGC